This 959-nucleotide ribosomal RNA is filed under the name Alloteropsis angusta. RNAcentral describes it as "bacterial LSU rRNA". It matches the Rfam family "Bacterial large subunit ribosomal RNA", at positions 1902 to 2872 of the family's 2925-position model. The record is from RNAcentral. Lineage: Eukaryota; Viridiplantae; Streptophyta; Magnoliopsida; Poales; Poaceae.
AGGCUGGCGACCGAAGCCCCGAUAAACGGCGGCCGUAACUAUGACGGUCCUAAGGUAGCGAAGUUCCUUGUCGGGUAAGUUCCGACCUGCACGAAUGGCGUAACGAUGGCCACACUGUCUCCUCCAGAGACUCAGCGAAGUUGAAAUGUUUGUGAUGAUGCAAUCUCCCCGCGGAAAGACGGAAAGACCCCAUGAACCUUUACUGUAGCUUUACAUUGGACUUUGAACGGAUCUGUGUAGGAUAGGUGGGAGGCUUUGAAGCGGUGCCGCUAGGUGUCGUGGAGCCAACGUUGAAAUACCACCCUGGUGCGUUUGAGGUUCUAACCUUGGCCCGUAACCCGGGUUGGGGACAGUGUAUGGUGGGCAGUUUGACUGGGGCGGUCUCCUCCCAAAGCGUAACGGAGGAGUUCGAAGGUACGCUAGGCACGGUCGGAAAUCGUGCUGAUAGUGCAUAGGCAUAAGCGUGCUUGACUGCGAGACUGACAAGUCGAGCAGGUACGAAAGUAGGACUAAGUGAUCCGGUGGUUCUGUAUGGAAGGGCCAUCGCUCAACGGAUAAAAGGUACUCUGGGGAUAACAGGCUGAUACCGCCCAAGAGUUCAUAUCGACGGCGGUGUUUGGCACCUCGAUGUCGGCUCAUCUCAUCCUGGGGCUGUAGCCGGUCCCAAGGGUAUGGCUGUUCGCCAUUUAAAGAGGUACGUGAGCUGGGUUUAAAACGUCGUGAGACAGUUUGGUCCCUAUCUGCCGUGGGCGCUGGAAAUUUGAAGGGGGCUGCUCCUAGUACGAGAGGACCGGAGUGGACGCACCUCUGGUGUAUCGGUUGUCACGCCAGUGGCAUCGCCGAGUAGCUAUGUGCGGAAGAGAUAACCGCUGAAAGCAUCUAAGCGGGAAGCCUGUUUUAAGAUGAGGUUUCAUUUGAGGUCCCCCAAAGACGAUGGGGUUGAUAGGCCAGACCUGGAC